This is a long non-coding RNA of Lycium barbarum (goji berry), 3523 nucleotides long. RefSeq lists it as uncharacterized. The transcript has 8 exons. Lineage: Eukaryota; Viridiplantae; Streptophyta; Magnoliopsida; Solanales; Solanaceae. The record is from RefSeq and is a predicted model, not a curated record.
AAUGAGUUAUAUAUGUUUUAUGUGAUUAUAAAUCAUUUUAUAAAAAUAAAGUGUUUUUAAAUAUAAAAAAAGAUAUUUUUUUAUAUGACAAGAGCACUCACUGAUCACUAGCUAGAGUUAGAAGAUAGAUAUACUUCUCAUUUAGAACUAGUGCUAAAGUCUUUCAUUACUACAAGAGCAAUACAGUUCUACAUCUCAUAUGGUGGAGACAGGAAUAAGCGCCUUUGAGGUUGUACUACUUUAGCAGUUUAGCUUGCCCACAAUUAUUGUUAUUUCUUUAGGACCGAUGCAUUCUCAGCGAGUUGCAGAAAUCAGAAGGUGCAAGGCGUGGUUGGUUUCUUCUUAAACUAUCUAUGAUCUAUCGACCACCAACUAAUGGCCAACUAAAAGUUUCUCUGGCUGCUCGGUUGCUGCAAAAUGGAUGGCUUUGUCUUGCCCCCUUUUGUAUCAACAUGUAUCUUGAAGAAUAAGUUUAUAGCCAGGUUUGCUUAAUAGCCACUUUGUCAUCUAUUUUUAUUUGUUAUAUUAUCAUAAAUAUAGUAAUAUUCUUGAAGCUGGCACACUAGUGUGAAGAAGAAAGGAGGUGUUUUAGCCAUUGAAGGAAAUGAUGCGCCUGUUAUAGCUGAUAAUAUCAGAAUUGUUGAGAAGCAACCUGUCAUGAUUUUAUAAGAUUACACAAACUAUAUUCUCAUGGUGAUUAAUGGGAGCCGAGGGAGUACUUUUAUGCUGACUUUUAGAUGUCUAAGAGUUAUACAAACUAUACUAUCAUGAGGAUUUGUCCAAUCUGGUAAUAGAGAAAGAAACCACGGAUGGACAGAUUGGAAGUGCUGCACAAGCUGGCAUCUCGGCCAGGUAUAAACAACUGGCGGGCUUCCAACUUCUAUUGAUGUGAAUAAUAGCUUUGGUGCACCAGCUACUAUUGAAGAUAGUUUGAUAUGGCAGAGGCUCUGGCAAUUAAAGGGAGGGAGGUGAAAUUUUAUGCUCAUUAUAUCAAGGAGAUAAAGAGUUUGUCAUGAUAAGGUUCAUCAUCUACAAAUACAUUUGUCCAUUUACAUUCCCUCUUCCACCAUUUUUUUCUUCCUUCAAAAUGCGCUAAUGAGGUGUUUUUUUUAAGUCAGCUGUGCAACUCGAGAUGCUAAGAGCUUACAUAGAGCAGUUGAGCACUUCUAUGUGAAGGAAUCCUGUGUCCAUUAAUGUAUUCUCUGUGGUUUUUACAGAUAAAAUAACUUCCCGAAAGUACUCUACUAAUUCGUAUAUUCACAGUUCAUACAUAGUAUAGCAUGUGUGAAAAAGAGUCCUAUAAAAUAUACUAAGGUUGCUUACAUCUCAUGAAACCUUUUAAAUUAACCCUGCUUCUCCUCUUUAAAGACAGAAUCCUCCCUUGCCACCUCUUCAUUGGUAUCAAUAUAGUGGUAACAUUGCUUAAAAUGAAAUUCCUCUUCCUUACCACAAAGUUGGCAUCCCUGAUAAUUUAGGGGACAAUUCUUGCAUUUGAUUGUUGUGAUAGGAAAACACUCUUCCCUUUAUUAACGCUUUGUCCUAGAAUCUUCUCAUACAUGUGAAAUAUCUUUUUAACUAACCAUGUAGUUCACUAGUGUUCGCUGUCAAUUUUAUGAUGGGUAGAAUAAUAUUGGUAAUAUGGAUUCUGAUUUACUAGAAAGAAGGAAAUAUUGAGAAUAUGAAUGUUUGCUAAAUGAAUUAAUGCCACUUUUCAAUACCAAGGUUUUGUUUGAUAUUGACAUCUAGAUGUAUGUAAAGGUCCGAAUUUAGUCUAGGAAUAACAUUGAUAGGCUUGUGCGCACGAGCCAAAAAUAUGAUAUGCUGUUACAAAACUUGUAAUAUCGAGUUAAACCUGCAACUUCCCCUUGCAAUGGUGGAGAUAGGCAGGACGGAUAGUGGACAAGGGGUGAUUGGUUGCUCAAUCCUUCGAAGUUGAACUCGCCGGAGUUCACAAUAACACUCUCACUAGAGUUCAGGUUUUGUCUUGCUCAGCUCUUCCCUGCUGGUUAAUAUUCAGGACUUUAUGAACUUAAGUAGAAUAUGGCCGUAGAGGGUUUAUGAGGAGUGUUACAGAAUGUAUAUGGAUAUUAUUCUUAGUAAUGUACAUAGGAUAAUUAGGCAGCAAAUUUGUAGGAAUCAGUCUUUAUUUUCUUUCCUAAGUUAGAACCUAAUGUAUUGUAUUUAUACCUCAUUUACUUGUUGGAAUACUUCAUCUUCUUCAAUUCAAUUACAUGGUAUCAAAGCCUAUAGGCUCCUCGAUCCUGUUUUGGCCUGGUUUCAAAAGGCAAGCUCGAUCUUGUUUUGUUGCCUUGCAGAAAGAGGUUCGAAUUUUGGAUCAAUCACUUUAAAGUGGCCAUUGUGUCACUGCCACCAUAGUAGGAGGCGUAUCAUCCUUUCCGGCCGGACCACCCUUCAACGGCAACUUGGUGUGAAGCGAGUGGCCUUCACGUGCCAUUUGAACCUCGCCUGUUUGUCACGUGCCGCCGUGCGUAGGCGCAUGCUCCGAUAGAAUCUUUUGGGAAUUGGAUUUCCGGUGUUGGAUCUUCGUUGCCGGCUUACCCCAAGUUUCAUCUGGUGUUGAAACACUAUUUGGAGGGUUUCUUCGUCACUUCCAGGUAACAGAGAAGAGCAGGUUCGUGAUACUCUCGACACUUAGGAGAACUUGCUGCUGCUGUUAAUUUGCUGGCCUCCAAGUAAGAAAGGGACAUCUGCAAAAUAUGGUAUAAGUAAGACGGGUGACGGCGCUUCUCAGUUUAAACAUCUGAGUCUUUUGAAGUUGAAGAUGUUGAGGUACCUGUAAAACAGAAACCAGUGUGAGUAGUAAAGUGCCAUCAUGUUCUCCUCCCACGGGACUUGAACAUGAUGGCAAUGAUCCCUUCUCUCCACCUCAACACUCCUGUGUCUCCAUAUUCUGCUGAUGUGGAAACCUCACAGCAUCAUUUCUGCUGAUGUGCAAAGUUCUACACCAGCAGCCUGAUUCAAAGGUACCUCCAGCCUUCUCUGCAUUUUUUUUUUUUAAAACAAAUUGCUGCAUCUAUUCCAAAGCAGUGUUGUACAUUGAAGCUGUUACUUCAGAUAGCCUUGCAGCCUUUAUUUGAAGCUACAAUAUAUAGAUUUCUUGAACCUUGCAGUUGCACCUAACAGCCAGCUAGGUGCUGCACAUAGCAAUGCUAUUUGCCUCUAUGCAGCUGCAGAUUUGUCUGCUGCAUCUUGUGACAGCUGAUGCAUCUCUUUAUUUUUACCCUGCCACCUGAAGUAGACAAGAUCACACCAGGACAAUCUUCUAUCAUCAGUUGUCAUCAACUAAGUAUCAGAAUCUAUGUUCAGUAAGUAGUUGUAGCCUGGCAGCAGUAAACCAGGCAGCUUCGUUGUUGUCCUCCAGGUGCUGCACAUAGCAGUGCUGAUUUCCACUCUGCAGCUUCAUAUCACCUGCUAAAACAUGUGGCCAUCUUCAUAGAAGCUGUUACUAGGAUAAGAAAUAGCCUAAGUGAAGAUGAACAAAUUAUGUGUGGGGUUUAGGGUU